CCUGAUCAUGCAGAGGGCUGUUGUCUGGGACGGUGAUCUCUAGCAUAACACAUUCUGGUACUAUGAAAGCUAGCAACUAGGGAUGAAUCUUCAAGGUACACCCUUUAAAGCACAUAUCUGACUGGAAAUGGAUCUUUCCAAUGUCAGUCUUCAGAAGCAAGUAAGACAUGAAUACAUUUCGUACUUCCGUGCUCUGUUGGUGUGCAUUACUCAGGAGAAUUGGUACCUGAAAGUGCUAACCUCUUUGAAUUUACAAACUUCUCAUUGAGCUAAAUUUCUACAAUGCAGAAAAAACAGGAAAUGGUUGUAACAUGGAGAAAUUUCCACAGGUAGAGGACAGGGGAGCCUGUGUGCUGCUGGUGGGUUUCUUCCAGAAAUAAACUUUCCGGUUGACUCAUAUGCUAGCAUAGCAUAGUAUUUUUAUGGGACUGCUGAGUCUGUAAAUGAGUGGACAUCUGAUUCUUGUGCUUGAUCUUGGGCUUUUUUCCUCUAUGGAUUGCCUUGUGUAGCCUUGAUGUUACAGUUUUUUGUUUUAUUUUGUUUUCUAAAAA
Molecule: long non-coding RNA, 551 nt
Organism: Alexandromys fortis (reed vole)
Lineage: Eukaryota; Metazoa; Chordata; Mammalia; Rodentia; Cricetidae
Exons: 3
Source: RefSeq, a predicted model, not a curated record